GAGAGAAAAGGUGGAAGGGGUAGGAGAGGAGAGAGAGAGAAGAUGGAAGAGGUAAGAGAGGAAAGAGAGAGAGAGAUAGAGAAGGUGGAAGAGGUAGGAGAGGAGAGAGAGAAGGUGGAAGAGGGAGGAGAGGAGAGAGAGAAAUGGGAAAGGUAGGAGAGGAUGAGGAUGAGAAGAGAGAGAGAGAGAGAGAAGGUGGAAGAGGUAGGAGAUUCAAAUUCAAAUUCAAAUAUUUGGUAAUUUGUUCCAAAUCAUGGGUCCACGUGUAAGUGUCUCCCGUGCCCCUAUAUCUGUGCGUGAUCUUGUGUUCGGACACAGGUUGUGUUUCCUACGGUUGGAAGGGUUAAUAGCCAUUCUGGAUAAAGCCCUUGCAUUAUUUUGUGGAUUAGUAUGCAAGUGUCAUAGUUAUAUUUGUGUUGUACUUUUAGCCAAUUUAAUUUGUUUAUUUGUCGGGUAAUGUGGUCAUACUUAUUGACAUUACCAAGCGGUACUCUCGCAGCAAAGUUCUGUCAUUUUUGGAUUUUCUGAAUGUGACCUUUGUUUGUUGUGCCCCAAAUGUUAGAACAAUAAUUAAUCGUACUGGGAACUAGUGGUUGUAUUACGAAUAUCCUAGUUGCUUUUUAUGUGGCCUAGGUAAAUUAGCGUGCCCAUUACUUUAAUAUGGAUGUUGUCGACAUGGUUCUCAAAGGUCAUGAAUCAGUCAAUGUGUACGCCUUGUUUUUUUACAGAAGUGCUCGGUCUUAUGUAGCUGUCUUCAAGAGAGAAGAGAGAGAGAGAGAAGGUGGAAGAGGUAGGAGAGGAGAGAGAGAGAAGUGAUAGAGGUAGGAGAGGAAAGAGAAAGAGAGAGAGAGAAGGUGGAAGAGGUAGGACAGAAGAGAGAGGUAGGAGAGGAAGAGGAUGAGAGAGAGAGAGAAGGUGGUAGAGGUAGAAGAGGAGAGAGAGAGAGAAACGAGAGAGGUAGGAGAGGAAGAGGAUUAGAGAGAGUGAGAGAGAUAAGGUGGAAGAGAUGGGAGAAGAGAGAGAGAGAAGGUGGAAGAGGUAGGAGAGGAGAGAGAGAGAGAAGUGAGAGAGGUAGGAGAGGAAGAGGAUGAGAGAGAGAGAAAAGGUGGAAGAAGGGCGGAAGGAAGGGAGAGAAAGAGGAAAGUAAAGAGGAGAGAGGGAUAGGAAUGCAAUAUUUUUUGUUGUUUGUUUGCUUAUUUGAUUGUUUUGCAGAACAAAAUGGUACAAUUCAUUUGGAAUACAGAUUGUGAGGAUAAGGAUUCAAACAAGUUGGUUUCAGAAUUAAAUUGAUGUGUUCCGCUUAUGUCAAUAGAGCCUCAUCUGAA
Long non-coding RNA from Penaeus indicus, 1325 nucleotides. RefSeq lists it as uncharacterized. The record is from RefSeq and is a predicted model, not a curated record. NCBI's taxonomy places the organism in Eukaryota, Metazoa, Arthropoda, Malacostraca, Decapoda, Penaeidae. The transcript has 2 exons.